UACGAAGGGAGCUAGCGUUGUUCGGAAUUACUGGGCGUAAAGGGCGCGUAGGCGGUAUCAUAAGUCAGAUGUGAAAGCCCUGGGCUUAACCUAGGAGGUGCAUUUGAUACUGUGAAACUAGAGAUCGAGAGAGGAAAGUGGAAUUACGAGUGGAGAGGUGAAAUUCGUAGAUAUUCGUAAGGACACCAGUGGCGAAGGCGACUUUCUGGCUCGAUACUGACGCUAAGGCGCGAAAGCGUGGGGAGCAAACAGG
This 253-nucleotide ribosomal RNA is filed under the name uncultured bacterium. Its description in RNAcentral is "partial 16S ribosomal RNA". It matches the Rfam family "Bacterial small subunit ribosomal RNA", at positions 524 to 776 of the family's 1533-position model. The record is from RNAcentral.